AUUGAACGCUGGCGGAAUGCUUUACACAUGCAAGUCGAACGGCAGCACGGACUUCGGUCUGGUGGCGAGUGGCGAACGGGUGAGUAAUGUAUCGGAACGUGCCUAGUCGUGGGGGAUAACGUAGUGAAAAUUACGCUAAUACCGCAUACGAUCUAUGGAUGAAAGCGGGGGAUCGCAAGACCUCGCGCGAUUGGAGCGGCCGAUAUCAGAUGAGGUAGUUGGUGGGGUAAAGGCCCACCAAGCCAACGAUCUGUAACUGGUCUGAGAGGACGACCAGCCACACUGGAACUGAGACACGGUCCAGACUCCUACGGGAGGCAGCAGUGGGGAAUUUUGGACAAUGGGCGAAAGCCUGAUACAGCCAUUCCGCGUGAAGGAUGAAGGCCCUCGGGUUGUAAACUGCUUUUGUACAGAACGAAGAGGUUUCUACUAAUACUAGGAGCUCAUGACGGUACUGUAAGAAUAAGCACCGGCUAACUACGUGCCAGCCGCCGCCGUAA
RNAcentral lists this ribosomal RNA (500 nucleotides) under uncultured bacterium. Its description in RNAcentral is "partial 16S ribosomal RNA". It matches the Rfam family "Bacterial small subunit ribosomal RNA", at positions 30 to 523 of the family's 1533-position model. The record is from RNAcentral.